Molecule: ribosomal RNA, 496 nt
Filed under: uncultured bacterium
Lineage: Bacteria
Description: partial 16S ribosomal RNA
Rfam family: Bacterial small subunit ribosomal RNA
Source: RNAcentral
GAUGAACGCUGGCGGCGUGCCUAAUACAUGCAAGUCGAGCGAACAGAUGAGGAGCUUGCUCCUCUGACGUUAGCGGCGGACGGGUGAGUAACACGUGGAUAACCUACCUAUAAGACUGGGAUAACUUCGGGAAACCGGAGCUAAUACCGGAUAAUAUAUUGAACCGCAUGGUUCAAUAGUGAAAGACGGUUUUGCUGUCACUUAUAGAUGGAUCCGCGCCGCAUUAGCUAGUUGGUAAGGUAACGGCUUACCAAGGCAACGAUGCGUAGCCGACCUGAGAGGGUGAUCGGCCACACUGGAACUGAGACACGGUCCAGACUCCUACGGGAGGCAGCAGUAGGGAAUCUUCCGCAAUGGGCGAAAGCCUGACGGAGCAACGCCGCGUGAGUGAUGAAGGUCUUCGGAUCGUAAAACGCUGUUAUUAGGGAAGAACAAAUGUGUAAGUAACUAUGCACGUCUUGACGGUACCGAAUCAGAAAACCACGGCUAACUACGU